AACUUCAUUCUAAGGCUAAAUAUUGACGCGAAUUCGAUAAGCAAACAAGUACUGUGAAGGAAAGUUGCAAAGAACUUUGAAGAGAGAGUUCAAGAGAACGUGAAAUCUUUGAAGUGGAAACGGAGAGAGUUAAUAUAGUCUAGUGAAUAAAUGUUAUAAAUAUCGUAUAGAACAAUAUGAUAUAUAAUAACAUGUAUGUCACUAAUGACUACGUUAACAACAUUAAUAGCAGAAUCUGAGUUGAACAUGUUGCCUAUUAUUGUUUUAUAAUAGUGGUGCCUGAUGUUUAACAGCAAAGUUUGUUGCGUUUUAUUAAUGUGUUUAUUAAUUCGAUUGAAUCGAAUCGAUAAGAUCCCAUAAAAGGCGCUGGUUGAUAUAGACAGCAGGACGGUGGCCAUGGAAGUCGGUAUCCAAGGAGUGUGUAACAACUCACCUACCGAAUCUACUAGCCCUGAAAUUGGAUGGCACUUGAGCGAAAGACCUAUACCUAACCAUUGUUGGUAUGUGAGAUGAUUAUAGGUGAUCAAAAACAUGUGUGUGUAUUAUAACUUUUGAUGUGUCUCCCGUCUCCUUACCGUGUUUUGAGCUUCUUUUAUUUUAACGUUUCUUUUAACUCCAUGUAUUACCUUACCGCAAAAAUCCUGCGUUGACCUAUCUGGACACUUGAGCACAUUCUGCCACAAGGUCUCAUCUGUCUUCAAGAACUUUUGAGUUCAUACGCCAACGUCGGGCAGCUAAAGCCGCAGGCAACCACCGGCUAACGUCUGAACCUGCGAAACGCUGCAGAGAAGCCAUAAAAGAUCUUAAAGAGAAAAUAGUAGAAGUGAUUAAUGAUGCAGCUAAGGCUGAUAAAAGCGUUCGCUAUGCUCGUUGAUGCUUCACGAAUCA
This is a non-coding RNA of Dictyocaulus viviparus (bovine lungworm), 888 nucleotides long. NCBI's taxonomy places the organism in Eukaryota, Metazoa, Nematoda, Chromadorea, Rhabditida, Metastrongylidae. The record is from Rfam.